Molecule: long non-coding RNA, 2410 nt
Filed under: Gallus gallus (chicken)
Lineage: Eukaryota; Metazoa; Chordata; Aves; Galliformes; Phasianidae
Description: lncRNA (ENSGALG00010011233.1)
Source: RNAcentral
ACAAGGUUUUUCAGCAGAGCAGAAGAGAGUUCUCGUUAGCAGAGGAUAUGCAGAGCACCUGGCAGCAAAGAUAGUAAUUGGGGUUGGCAGCUGAAGGAAAGUGUCACUGAGCCAAAAAUCAGAAGGUGAAUGGAGAGCAGGAGGAGGCAGACAAGGCAAGAAGUUCUUCUCGGAAGGUUCUGCAUUGCUCUCUCCUGGAAGUGUUUUGGCUCUGAAGGUGUUUCGUGUGAACGUUGUGAAGGAAUUGUGCUUUCUGCAGCUGCAUAACAAGAGAAGCCUGAUAUGGUAAGCCACCAGCAGCUCUGCCAGAGGGAACAGCAGAGAUCGAUGUAGUCAAUGGUAGUUUGUAUUUUGGACUGUAGAAGUUGAAGGAGAAAUUAAAGAAGAUGUGAAACCAACAAAACAAGGAAAGAGGAAGGAUAAAGUGAUAGAGAAGCAGUGAAUAGCAAGGAAGAGAAUCGAGCCGAAGAACUAGAAAGAUUAUUUCAAAUGGUUGAAGAGAGGCAUGAGAAGGAAGUGGGAAGUUCAAAACAAACAAGAUACAGAAUGUGGGGGUGAGCACUGAAACUCCUGCCGUAGGAUGCUGAGCUUUCGUGCUACAGGGUCCCAUUCUCCCAGCUGGCAUCUGAGCAAGGGCAAAGUGCUUGCCUCUGAUCCACAUCGUGCGUUGCUUCAUGGCUCUGUGCCGCGCAUUCAGGUGGAGCUGCUGUCAUUGAUGUCCAUGCAAGGAGUAAGGGUAGACUACGCAACAGGGAGACUCUUUGCCCUACAACUGAAGGUAAAUGAACUGGAACGACUAACUGAAAGAGAAGAUCUAUGAAUUCAGUAAGCUGUGAUGUGGUAGUACUGAAAAGAGUGGAAGAGUCUGUAGGCUCGCUUACACAGGACAGUGAAAUUUGUAGGCACUGCCGUGCGCUAGAAAACCAUGAGAAAAGAGAGAAAUGAGUCGUCCUGUGCUCUCUGAGGUCUGGGCUUUGGAUAGACCAAAGAGGUAUUUUAAUAUCAAAAUCCUCUUGGUUCUAAAGCUCAUUGGAACUAGCAGAAAAUCUGUUCAAGGAAAGCGCUUUUUUUUUUCCAGUGGUAGUGAACUUCUGGAACUGAUUGUCUCAGGAGGCUGUGGAGACAACCCCAGCAUGCUCAUAAGGCAAUUAGACAAAUCUAUGGUUAACAAAUACAUAGAAAGACAUUGGAGGAAGGAACCAAGCAGAGAUAUCUCCACUUGGAUUUUCCCUAAUCCAAUAAAUAUGAAUGUUGGAGAAGACAGUGGAUCAGGACAAGUAAUAUAGUCUCUCCCAGACAGAGUAGAUGGACCCAGGAGGGAAUUUUCUUUGCUCUUAAUAAAGGAUUAUAGCCCAUACAUCCAAGAUAAUUGAUUAAGUACAACUUAAAAUUCUUUUGUCUGUACUAGAAAAUCUGUAACUGUAGCCAUGAAAUUUAAUCACCAAAUGUGAAAAUUACUCAUAGGAAGACAACUUUAAAUGGUAUUUAAGAAUGUCACAAUUAUAAACAGGAAAAAAUCCAUAAAUUCCACUAUGUUCUUGUGGCUUCUUUAUGUAUGUGUCUGAAGUUAUUGUACCUUUUUAGAGAAGGAAAUAACUUGAUAUCCAGGAGAAAAUCGCUGUCAAGGAAACCUAUUAAUUUAAACAUUCUUCCAUGAUUGACAGGUUACAACACCCACAGCUAAUAUGUAGUUACUUAAUGGCAGACUUCAGAGUUCACAGAUAGAUUAAAAGAAAUCAGGAAACUAGUUCUUACUUUAUGGUGAAAUAGCAUAAUAUGUAUCAGGCUUUUUUUUUUUUCUUUUUAAAGCAGUCUGCUUGUUAAGAGAGCAAAACAGCUCAUGUACAUCAUAAGAAAAGCAGAAAAUAUAAAGGAAGUUGAAUGUAUAUUGGAUUGUUUUUAUGUAGAGAACAGUAUAGAUAGCAUUUAAUGACACUUAUUUUUCAAGCUGUUCUGCACAUUAAAGACUUGGGUCUUAAGUUUAGGCACAAGAUUAAUAACAUCAGCAAUAUACAAUGGGAAAAUAUGUGAUGUUUGGAACCUGCAUUGCGAUUUAACUUUCCUCUAAAUGAAUGAUUGCUCUUUUUGCAGAAUAUUUCCUGUGUUUAUCUGAAGACUGAUAUUUUAUAGGUUUUUAAAGAUAAAUCAUGUUUGGCACACUGUAAGUUUUAUGUUUGAAGUACCUUCAUUUCUUUUCAAUAGUGAUGUGCAGUUUAGUAAUCCUUGUAAUGUCUUUGUCAGAGGAAAGAGCUUUGUCAGAGAUCAGUCUGCAGGAAACAGAUUUAAGAGAGCAGCUAAAAUAGUGAGGAAAUUUGGGAAAGCGUAUCUGAGCAACUUAACUGAGAAAAUGGUAAAUGAGAAAAAACACAGGAUCUUUUCAGAUUAUGAUAUGCAGUUCAUGUGUCUCCUG